This 433-nucleotide ribosomal RNA is filed under the name uncultured bacterium. Its description in RNAcentral is "partial 16S ribosomal RNA". It matches the Rfam family "Bacterial small subunit ribosomal RNA", at positions 29 to 507 of the family's 1533-position model. The record is from RNAcentral.
AACGAACGCUGGCGGCAUGCCUAACACAUGCAAGUCGAACGAGACCUUCGGGUCUAGUGGCGCACGGGUUCGUAACGCGUGGGAACCUGCCCUUAGGUUCGGAAUAACUCUCCGAAAGGGGUGCUAAUACCGGAUAAUGUCUUCGGCCCAAAGAUUUAUCGCCUUUGGAUGGGCCCGCGUUGGAUUAGCUGGUUGGUAGGGUAAAGGCCUACCAAGGCGACGAUCCAUAGCUGGUCUGUGAGGAUGGUCAGCCACACUGGGACUGAGACACGGCCCAGAAUCCUACGGGAGGCAGCAGUGGGGAAUAUUGGAAAAUGGGCGAAGGCCUGAUCCAGCAAUGCCCCGUGAGUGAUGAAGGCCUUAGGGUUGUAAAGCUCUUUUACCCGGGAUGAUAAUGACAGUACCGGGAGAAUAAGCUCCGGCUAACUCCGUG